AUUGAACGCUGGCGGCAGGCUUAACACAUGCAAGUCGAGCGGAGAGAGGUAGCUUGCUACUGAUCUUAGCGGCGGACGGGUGAGUAAUGCUUAGGAAUCUGCCUAUUAGUGGGGGACAACAUUUCGAAAGGAAUGCUAAUACCGCACACGUCCUACGGGAGAAAGCAGGGGAUCUUCGGACCUUGCGCUAAUAGAUGAGCCUAAGUGGGAUUAGCUAGUUGGUGGGGUAAAGGCCUACCAAGGCGACGAUCUGUAGCGGGUCUGAGAGGAUGAUCCGCCACACUGGGACUGAGAAACGGCCCAGACUCCUACGGGAGGCAGCAGUGGGGAAUAUUGGACAAUGGGCGGAAGCCUGAUCCAGCCAUGCCGCGUGUGUGAAGAAGGCCUUAUGGUUGUAAAGCACUUUAAGCGAGGAGGAGGCUACUUUAGUUAAUACCUAGAGAUAGUGGACGUUACUCGCAGAAUAAGCACCGGCUAACUCUGUGCCAGCCGCCGCCGUAA
RNAcentral lists this ribosomal RNA (501 nucleotides) under uncultured bacterium. Its description in RNAcentral is "partial 16S ribosomal RNA". It matches the Rfam family "Bacterial small subunit ribosomal RNA", at positions 30 to 523 of the family's 1533-position model. The record is from RNAcentral.